AGCAGUCGCCGCGGGAAUACGAAGGGUGCAAGCGUUAAUCGGAAUUACUGGGCGUAAAGCGUGCGUAGGUGGUUAUAUAAGACAGUUGUGAAAUCCCCGGGCUCAACCUGGGAACUGCAUCUGUGACUGUAUAGCUAGAGUACGGUAGAGGGGGAUGGAAUUCCGCGUGUAGCAGUGAAAUGCGUAGAUAUGCGGAGGAACACCGAUGGCGAAGGCAAUCCCCUGGACCUGUACUGACGCUCAUGCACGAAAGCGUGGGGAGCAAACAGGAUUAGAUACCCGCGUAGUCCCUGUCUCUUAUAC
Molecule: ribosomal RNA, 303 nt
Filed under: uncultured bacterium
Lineage: Bacteria
Description: partial 16S ribosomal RNA
Rfam family: Bacterial small subunit ribosomal RNA
Source: RNAcentral